UCAGUAAAGACAAGGUUUCAACAUGUUAGACAGGCUGAUCUCAAACUCCUGACCUCAAGCCAUCCGCUUGCCUUGGCCUCCCAAAGUGCCACCAUUCCUGGCCACAUAUUUCUGCUAUAGAAAUAUUUUACUACUCCAUAGACUGUACUUUUAUUUCUUUGAGUUUCAUUUGUUAAUUUCUAGACACUUUUUCUGCUUUUAAACAUGAUGAACAGAACUUUGAUAAUAUAAUAAUUUUAAUAAUGCUUAGAAUUAUUACAUGAAAAGAAAUGAAAGUUUCUCCUCUGAGGCUUGGCUGUGCUGGCACCAAUAAUGCCAGGAGACUUCAUCCUAUAACGUACAUCUAUUUAGCACCCAAAGAGAGUCGCUAUUAUGCCCCAACCCAUCUUUAUCCUAUUAGGAAAGGCAGCUAGUCUCAUUCUUAAAAUCUAUCAUCCAGGUGCUUAGGGGAAAUACAAUCUAAAUUUCUUUUCAGGAGAUGUAAGAGAUUGGAAAACUGGUCCUUUGGUUUUUCAUACACUAUUCAACACAACACUUCUGACACUGGAUGUGUGGAUUUAUUUCCCUAUACACCAAAUAAUUUUCCAUUAGACAUCAGGGGGUUGUCUUACAAUUCAGCUCUGACACAUCUCCCUAGAGUUAGAGUCAGAUCUCACAGGUCAAGGCUCAGUCUCUCAAGACUGCUUCUCACUCCAGAUGCCAAUGGCAAGUCCCAGGUUGCAGCCCAUACUUCUGACUGGCUAUAAAUUGGCAUACCCAUGACCCCUCUCUUCAGGUUUUAUCAGUUUGCUAAAGUGGCUCACAGAAUUCAGGGAAACGUGUUUACCCAUUUAUUGUAAAGGGUUUUACAAAGGAUACAGAAGAACAGUCAGACGGAGAGAUGCCUAGGGCAAGGCAGGUGGGAAAGGGUGCAGGGCUUCCACGUCUGCUCUCAGCAGACCACCCUUCAGGCACCUUUAUGUGGUCGGCUCUCCAGAGGCUCCCUGAACCCACUUCUCUUGGGUUUUUUGGAGGUUCCAUUACAUAGGCAUGAUUGAUGAUAUCACUGGCCAUUGGUGAUUAACUUAACUGUUAGCCCCUCUCACCUCCUGGGAAGUCGAAUGGUGGAACUUAAAGUUCCAAUCCUCUAAUCACAGGAUUGGUUUCCCUGGCAAACCAAUGGAGGUGGGGUUUUGCCAUGCUGCCCAGACUGGUCUCAAACUCCUGAGCUCAAGCAAUUCUCCCCGCCCCCACAACUGGCUUCCCAAAGUACUGGGAUUAUAGGCAUGAGCCACUGUGCUCAGCCAUCUUCUCAUUUUUAUAACAGUUGAAUUCCCUAAAAUAAGUCUGCGAUUAAGUUUCUAGUUUCAACAUCUUACAACCAAAUAAAUGUAGUAUUUAAGAGUUCUCACUUUAAUGUCAGACAGACCAGGGCUCAUAUACAGAGCACUGACUGAGAAGUUACUUAAUUUCCUUAGUUUCCUUAUAUGUAAAUUCACAGAUUUGUAAAAAGGAUUAAGUGAGAUAUAUAUGUAAUGUGCUUAGCACAGUACCUGGCCCAGAGUCAGUGCUCAGGAAAUGUUAGAGCUCAUUAAUAUGUAUUAUAAUCAAAUAAAAUAUGAGAAGACUGAAAAUAGAAAGAAGAAAAAAAUCACCCAUAGUUCCAACACCUGAACUGAUUUUGAACUAUUUUCAUUUCGUCUUUUAUCUGUGUGUAAGUGAAAGAAAUGUUAUAUAUGAUUCUGAGAGGCAGUCCUGGUAGCCAGAAUGCCCUUUGUUUGCCAAGUCAUCAUAGGUGGUGGGGUUAAAAUCUGGAGGUGGAAGCUGGGGUGUGUGAGUGCAGAACUGCUCUGCAUAAUGAUGGGAAAAGGCAAAUGAGAUUCUGUAAGGGAUAAAUAGUUUAAUCUCUGGAUUAGGUCUUUUAAGCACUUCCUAAAGACAGAGAAGGAAGCCAUUAAGUGUUCUGAGUCUUAGAACUGCCGCUGUCAGACUAGAUCACUUUUGUGAUAUCUCGUAUACCAGUUUCCAAUUUGCUGAAGGUAUUGAGUCCCUGAGAGCUGAGCCUGAGACACUUGUGCCAAGAGUCCUUUAUCAAUCCUUCUAUCUCUUCCAAGUCAUUCUUUUCUAACCCAUUCCUCCUAGGGCAGCCGUAGUGAUCUCUUCCAUGCUUCCCUAUCUCAGGUCAGGCCCUUUUGAAAGUGGGCAUACUCAUGAGCCAUCUUAAAUCACAUUAGUCAGUAGUGCUGCUAAUGCCUUAUUAGUAGAGAAUCUGGACCAGAAAGAUUGCUUUCCUAUGGGCUUGGGUAAAAGCCACUAGAACCCAAAGAGACAAUACUUGUCCUCUCAGAAUCAUAUAACCAAAAGCUAAUGUUACUGAGUGAUGGUCUAGGGAAAAAAAUUAUUUACUACUAAAAUCUAGGAGGCAAUAUUUUAAUUUGAUAGUUUACUUUUAUUUCUAUUCACAGAUUGAACAUUUUAGAGUGGUUUGAAGGUUAUCACUUCUCUAUGAUGUUCUCUCAGUCUCUAUUUGAUAAGCGAUUUGAGAUUACUAAUUUAGUUUAUGAACCUAUGGAAGAAGAAUGUGAAUGGAAACCAGAUGAAGAAGAUGAGAUUUUGGAAGAGUUGAAAGAAAAUGUCAAGAUUGAAGAUGUGAAAAAGGAUGAAGAAAAAGAAGACCCCAAAGGAAUUCAUGAAUUUUGGUUAACUGUUUUUAAGAAUGUUGACUUACUCAGUGAUAUGGUUCAGGAACAUGAUGAAUCUAUUCUGAAGCACUUGAAAGAUAAUAAAAUGAAGUUCUCAGAUGCUGGCCAGCCUAUGAGUUUUGUCUUAGAAUUCCACUUUGAGCCCAGUGAAUAUUUCACAAAUGAAGUGCUGACAAAGACAUAUAGGAUGAGGUCAGAACCAGAUAAUUCUGAUCCCUUUUCUAUUGAUGGACAAGAAAUUAUGGGUUGUACAGGGUGCCAGAUAGAUUGAAAAAAGGAAAGAAUGUCACUUUGAAAACCAUUAUGAAGAAGCAGAGACACAAGGGAUGUGGGGCAGUUCGUACUGUGACUAAAACAAUUUCCAAUGACUCUUUAAUUUUUCUGCCCUUCCUGAAGUUCCUGAGAAUGGAGAUCUGGAUGAUACUGCGGAAGCUAUUCUUGCUAUAGACUUUGAAAUUGGUCACUUUUUAUGUGAGCAUACAAUCCCAAGAUCAGUGUUAUACUUUACAGGAGAAGCUACAGAAGAUAAUGAUAAUGAUUAUGAUGAAGAAGUGGAUAAGGAAGGGGAUGAAGAAGGAGAUGAGGAAAAUGAUCUAGACAAUGACCCAAAGAAGGAUCAAAACCCAGCAGAGAGCAAGCAACAGUGAAGCAAAAUGUAUGUGGCCUUGAGGAUAACCUGCACUGUAAUAGCCUAAACACAACUCUUAUUUACUUACAGCCUUAUGUUUUUGUAUUUUCUUGGUAGACUAGGUAAUCUUUUAAAGGGCAGAAAACUGAUAUUUUAAAGACCAAUUUGUUCUCCCCAGCAUUUUAGCUAGUUUUUCUGCCAGAUAGAUUGAAUGCACAAGUUCUGUCAUUCAUGUUCAUUCACUGCUACAUAAUUUGGUUUUUCUGGAAUAUUUUUAUGUAGCUCUUGGAGUACAUCUAUGCAUCUAUGAAUUAACAACUGUUAAAGGAAACACUUUUUUUUCAUAAUUUUUUCCUUGAAGAACAAAGUAUAUUUUCAGCUGGUUAUUGAAUAGGGUUAAGUCUGCUUGGAUUAGCUGUGCCUUUCAUUACUUUGUUACAGAAAUGCAGUGACUUCUACUAGGACAAUUUAUUCUUUAAAAAAAAUGGCAAGACAACCAUAUGGUUAAGAAUUUCCAGUAUGACCACACCCAAUAACUGUAUUAGAUUGUUAAUCAAUUAUUGUGUUAUAGGUGACAUAGUUAACUGAAAGUAACCUGAUUCAGUAUAGCUACUGGUAUCACAGUGAGGUGAAUAAAACAGGAUUUUCAGAAGUUAGCCUGAAUUUAACUAUAUUUUUAAAUUUAACCUACAUUAACUAUCUUUUAUUUGUGGUAGGGUCUACCUUCUGCUUCCCUGGAAAGGAUGAAUUUACAUCAUUUGACAAGCCUAUUUUCAUUAUUUGUUGUUUGCUUGCUUUUGCAGCCUAAAAUAAAAAUUUCAAAUACAAUUUUAGUUCUU
Sapajus apella (tufted capuchin) is the source of this 4148-nucleotide RNA transcript. It is a transcript of the gene named nucleosome assembly protein 1-like 1 pseudogene, with no coding region annotated. The transcript has a single exon. NCBI's taxonomy places the organism in Eukaryota, Metazoa, Chordata, Mammalia, Primates, Cebidae. The record is from RefSeq and is a predicted model, not a curated record.